This is a long non-coding RNA of Pseudophryne corroboree (corroboree frog), 2528 nucleotides long. RefSeq lists it as uncharacterized. The record is from RefSeq and is a predicted model, not a curated record. The transcript is spliced from 3 exons. Lineage: Eukaryota; Metazoa; Chordata; Amphibia; Anura; Myobatrachidae.
UGCCAGUACCGUGGUGACAUGCCGGUGGCAGGGAGAAAGAAGGGGGAAAAAUGCUGGCACCAACCCCUGACAACAAGCCGGGAGGUGGGGUGAAGAUGCAGGCACCAACCCCUGACUACGAGCAGUCAGUUUAAAACAUUAUAAAAAAAACACGCUUGUCAUAUCCUCACAGUGUCCAAAAAAACAACAACAGGGCGGCCUGCCACCACUCAGGCACAAGAUGAUGAUAAUGAUGAUGGUGAAGCAGGACCAUCCACACAACAACGGCUCAUUCCCAGAAGGAGGCGUCCAGAGGAUUCUGCCAGGCAAAGACACAUGGCCCACAGGAGACACAGGCCGGAUGUGCACACCAGACAACACGAGUCACCACUUCAACAACUCAUAUCAAAUGUGUCCUCAAGGCCACCAUUCCAACUAUUGGAGAGUCCGCCAACAUGGGAAGCACAAUCCCCUCAGCUGCCUGGUGACUAGAAAAAAACAAACAUUAGUACACAUACUUACACAGGGCACUUUUUAAAAAUGUAUCCUGGUUGGAGACCACACAAUAACCUACGUACGGCUGAACCCCAACAACAAAAUGCCUAACAAAUGUUAUGGAGUUACAGCUCAAUACUAAAUAUAUGUGUGUCCACUUCAGCCAUAGAGUAGCUUAUUAAGAUGAAGAUGCUGCAACAAAAGUAGAAGUGCAAGCUUUCACAAGGAUUAGAUCAUAAAAAAAUGGUGUGUGGUGAUGUAGUUAGAUGUAGUGUGGAGAUCCUGCAUACCCAUCAUACAUUUUGUGUAACCAAUCCUAGUUUUACACACGUUUACUUUAAACAAGCCAUACACAGUGUUUGCACAGUAUGUUAUGUAUUUGUGACACGGAUUAGGAUUAAUAUUACAUUCUAAAACAACAUAUCUAAUAUAGUCGAGAGGCAUGUCCUUAAUGUAACUGGAGUAUUGAUGUUGUUGGCAACAACACCAUUUGGAACCAUCUUUAUCAUGUCUUGGCACAAAAAAACAACAGAUCAUAUUAAAACAAUAUAUGUCUAGAUAAACUAAAAUGUUGUUCCAUUACAGCCCAUACAGAUGACAACAACAUUCCCCCGGACUCCCAGCAUAACACACAAAUGGAGGAAAGCUUUGUGUUACAUCUCCAGCCAAUCGACCAAACAAUACCUACAAUACCACCUGUGAGUACACCUCCAACAGAAAUAACACCUGCACCAUAAAUCAGUCCACCAUCACCACAAGUGACAACACAGGACCAGGUUUUUUGGAAUACUUGGUCAACCCAGCAGGCAAAUAACCUGGAUUGUCUGCGUAGUCAGACGCAAUUUCUAGCUAGUCUGCCAGAUCAUCUUCCCCGAAUUAGUCAAAAUAGUAGUCGGCUAAAUGUGCAAGUCACUCAAAUCGCCAACACAAUGGAAUUAAUGCGUGCAGACAACACACAUAUGAUGAACACAUUCCAGAGAGUAAUGGAUGAACAACACAGACAGCACCAAAACUACCUCAACAUUUUGGAAACCAACCAAAUGUUAAUAGAAAGCAUCUGCCACAUUAUGGAGAGUCACACUGCAGCUACCAGAGAACUCAAUGCUACUCUGAGUAACCUGAGCCAAAACCUCAGUUCCCAACAAGCAUUACAACCAAGCACCAGCUCAGGAACCACAACUCCUAUCAUUUCCCCAGUUACCUUCCCACCAAUGCGAUCCAGCCUUACACGGACACACAUCACUGGGAAAGGCAUAUCAGCCUCCAAAGUGGCACCCAAAAAAUAGCCUUCAGGUGUUGUUGUUCAUUGUGUUUAGGAUGAAAAAACUGUGUCAGUUUAAGUGUAUGAAGGACACUGAAAAUGUAAAUUUGACAUCAUUAAUGUCUCACAUAAUUUGAUUUUUUUGUAAGUCAUAAUCACUCUCAGUAUUACAUGACCAUUAUUACACUUCUUUCCAAUAAUAAUCAGAAUUAUUAUUCCUUUGUCAGUAUCCAUAUUCUUGACAAUAACAAUCAGAAUCAUUAUUCCUUGGUCAGUAACCAUAUUCUUUACAAUAACAAUCAGAAUCAUUAUUCCUUGGUCAGUAUCCAUAUUCUUUACAAUAACAAUCAGAAUCAUUAUUCCUUGGUCAGUAUCCAUAUUCUUUACAAUUACAAUCAGAAUCAUUAUUCCUUGGUCAGUAUCCAUAUUCUUGAAAUUUACAAUCAGAAUCAGUAAGACCUGAGCAAUAUGUCAUUUAAUUGGUUAAAAAAACAAUCACAUUGUUAGCAAGACAGGUAUUUGCAUUAUGACAAUGUCAUGGCUCAUACUGUAAAAUGUGCCUUUAUUGCUAUUUUAUACAAUGGUAUUUUGUAGAGGUGUGAUUACGCCAUGUUUUUUUUCACAAUUACAAUGCCAUGUAUUCACAUUAUGAAGAUGUUAAUUGUAACCAUUGUUUUUUUACUAAAACAUCACGCAGUGUCAUAGAAAAAAAAAAAAUAAUGUCUUAGUUAAUGGCUUGUAUUUGUACUCUGUGGUUUGGCCACACAAUCAUGCGGCCUUAAACAAGGAAAGC